GCAACAUUCGGGCCGUCAGUCUACCGAGAAAUAUCACCCACUCGGUGGAAGAUCUUCUCUUACUCGU
This 67-nucleotide microRNA precursor is filed under the name Bombyx mori (domestic silkworm). Its description in RNAcentral is "mir-2774 microRNA precursor family". It matches the Rfam family "mir-2774 microRNA precursor family". The record is from Rfam by way of RNAcentral. Lineage: Eukaryota; Metazoa; Arthropoda; Insecta; Lepidoptera; Bombycidae.